Non-coding RNA from Misgurnus anguillicaudatus (oriental weatherfish), 2573 nucleotides. The record is from RefSeq and is a predicted model, not a curated record. NCBI's taxonomy places the organism in Eukaryota, Metazoa, Chordata, Actinopteri, Cypriniformes, Cobitidae.
UAUGAAGGUUUAAAUCAAACCAACUGCAGUUGAAUUGAUAGUAAUUGGAAUGCACAAACAAAAAACGAGAUUUUUGAAAAAUAAAAAAACGGAGUUAUCUCGUUUUGCAACAAAACUCUUCAUAUAUAUAAAAUAAUUACAGUGCACACACAUAAAUAAUGCAAAAAAACGUUUAUUUUGUAUGUGAUUAAUUGCGAUGAUUAAUUGUAAUGCAACCUAUGCUGGGUUGUUUUAACCCUUCAUUGGGUCAAAAAUACUAUAGUCAACAUUUGAAGUGGAUCAAAAUAGUUAAUCAAAGUUGUCCUAAGACAAGAACGGGUAAUGGGUAUUGGUUUUAUGAAAACAUUUAUGAAAGGUUUAAAUGUUGACUACUGUACAUUAGGGAGGCUCCGAUCGAUCUGCUCCGACUCGAUCUGUACGCGCUAAAUUUGCCAAUCUCAUGAACUGAUCUUUGUAUUGAUGUAUAUUUAAUUCAUACAGUAAAGAUUGUGAAGUGUUUUAUUUUCAUUACUUCUUGUGCUUAUUUAUUUGAUUCUCUAUUAAAUUGCAUAUCAGCUUAAAGAAUCGGUAUCGGCAUUGGAAUCGGCCAAUCACGAAGACAACAAAUCGGUAAUCAGUAUCGGCUGCAAAAUACCUGAUCGGAACAUCCUGUACAUACAUUUUCUAAGUUAAGGUAACCAAAUGACAGGGUUUGUCCCUUUUUGACCCAACUCUAGGUUAAAAAUAUCCCAGCUUUUUUUAAAUCAAUAGCAAACAAGCUAAAUCAAAGCUCUGAAGAUUUGAUAAAAGUUGCAUUUAUUUUGAAUAUAAUUUGGUAUCAAGGCAAGUUUUUGACCUCAGUAGUGAUCUCCUCUGAAACUCUAAAAGAGACGCAUGUGAAAGUACAGUACUGCAGGUGAUAAUUUUGCUCCAUACAGUAGCUCUAAAUUCACUGUUGGGAAAUAAGUGCGACAUUAAAGGCAUCUAAUUUGUGAUUGCAUGUUAAGGUAUGGCAGUAUUCUGUUCUAGAUAAAACGCAGUAACUCAUGUCAGUAUAAUUAAUUUCAAUUUGACAGCGUCGUGCUGGCCUUUGGGACCCAGGGCGACGAGUGCCCAGAUCUCUCCCCACUGGAGCCUCACGUACCUCACCAUGACCUUUAGAUACAUACCACUGCACAUAGCAGACAGUACAAAGGGCACAUGAGUGAACGCUCACACACUGAGCGCCUGCUGACACAGCCACCUUCCCAGCGUCACGUGGGAUGAGCUAUUCUAUAAGCUCCGUCACUCAGGGAGACCAGCUGACCGGGAUAUUCUGGGAUGGCCUGUAGAAUCAGACAGCCCAGAUCUGAACCCUAAAUGCUCUUUAACCUCUUCAGAGAGUCUUCAAGUUCAACAGCAAGAUCAUUCCACAAGCCAAAGACUUAACACUAAAGAUACUGGAAGUAAUACUGUCCAAGUGUGGCAUUACUUAGCAGACAAACAGGUCACCUUAUACUGCCACAAACCUAUUAGUCAUCUACAAGUGUUACAAUUUAGACACGAAAUGCCUUGCAUUUUGUCCUUAAUAAUCGCCGAAACAGAUCAAAUGGAGUUAUGUGAAUAAAGAACUGGCAGUGCUUUCUUAACCAUUACUCAGAGCGUUUUUAAGUUUUUCUAAAUCAGAACCAAAGCUAUCCUUGCUCGGUGGAACUAAUUUGUAGUAAGCAAGGCCCUUUGACCUUCUCAAAAGUAAAAUUUAGAAAUUGUUCCCUCCCGGGCCCCUAGAAUCGUUUCCACCUUUCACCCAACAAGCUACCCCAUGUUUGUUAGUCAUAUCCUAAUGUCCCAAAUGCAAAUCCUCUUCAUAUAAAUCACCAACAUUUCAUUACCGCAGUAUAAACUCCACUUCAAAGACACCCAUCCAGGCCUUUUUUGACAUUUGGAUGAGCAGAGCAUUCAUAUACGCAGCUGUUAGCUCAAUGUACCACAAGAGUAACAGUAGAGAGGAGUUGUCUCGGGGGAGCACGCAGCGUGUGGUGUGCCGGGGUCCCGCUGGUCUCUGGGGGGAGCCGUGUGGAACCGAGUCAGAGCCAGACACGUGUUCGGAGACCAGAGACUGAAGCAGCCGGCCGCAGGGCUAAGCCAAAGCUGGGAUGCAUUAUCACUCUCCUCCAUGCGGAGAGCCAAAGCAAAAGGUCCACUAAACAGCCCACUCUUCAGAAUCUAGGCAGCGGGGUAGUUGUCUUCAGUGUUUAUGUAGCAGUGUUACAGAGAUGAAUGGGGCAAGUACACACAGAUCUCUGACGUUAAUACCGUGAGCUGUAGGGUGUGGAUGCAGACGAAGAGCACGUGACAGCUCAGAGUUCACAUGAGGAGACAAACUGGAUCACAGCCACUGGAUGUCUAAUAAAGUUGGCCAAGGCACUGCAAGCGACUGGUUUGUGAAGGUACUACGGUACAGAUAUCCAUGGUGACAGACAUUUAGCAACAGCAUGCGAUUCAUGUAUUCAUAGAGGAUUUUAACACAAAAACAAAAAAUACCAACCGUCCCUGGCUCAGAGAGUAAUGUGAGUUAUUUAAAAAGUGUUUAUUUCAUAUUCCUGUGUUGCAUU